UGGGGAAUCUUGCGCAAUGGGCGGAAGCCUGACGCAGCGACGCCGCGUGCGGGACGAAGGCCUUCGGGUCGUAAACCGCUUUCAGCAGGGACGAGGCCCUCACGGUGACGGUACCUGCAGAAGAAGCCCCGGCUAACUACGUGCCAGCAGCCGCGGUAAUACGUAGGGGGCGAGCGUUAUCCGGAUUCAUUGGGCGUAAAGCGCGCGUAGGCGGCCUGUUAGGUCGGGGGUGAAAUACCGGGGCUCAACCCCGGUCCGCCCCCGAUGCCGGCAGGAUUGAGUCUGGUAGGGGAAGGCGGAAUUCCCAGUGGGGCAGUGGAAUGCGCAGAUAUUGGGAAGAACACCGGCGGCGGAGGCGGCCGUCUGGGCGACGACUGACGCUGAGGCGCGAAAGCUAGGGGAGCGAACAGG
RNAcentral lists this ribosomal RNA (411 nucleotides) under bacterium. RNAcentral describes it as "partial 16S ribosomal RNA". It matches the Rfam family "Bacterial small subunit ribosomal RNA", at positions 355 to 776 of the family's 1533-position model. The record is from RNAcentral.